GAUGAACGCUGGCGGCGUGCUUAACACAUGCAAGUCGAACGGAAAGGCUCCUGCUUGCAGGGGUACUCGAGUGGCGAACGGGUGAGUAACACGUGGGUGAUCUGCCCUGCACUUCGGGAUAAGCCUGGGAAACUGGGUCUAAUACCGGAUAGGACGAUGGUUUGGAUGCCAUUGUGGAAAGUUUUUCGGUGUGGGAUGAGCUCGCGGCCUAUCAGCUUGUUGGUGGGGUAAUGGCCUACCAAGGCGUCGACGGGUAGCCGGCCUGAGAGGGUGUACGGCCACAUUGGGACUGAGAUACGGCCCAGACUCCUACGGGAGGCAGCAGUGGGGAAUAUUGCACAAUGGGCGCAAGCCUGAUGCAGCGACGCCGCGUGGGGGAUGACGGCCUUCGGGUUGUAAACUCCUUUCGCUAGGGACGAAGCGCAAGUGACGGUACCUGGAGAAGAAGCAUCGGCUAACUACGUG
Molecule: ribosomal RNA, 465 nt
Filed under: uncultured bacterium
Lineage: Bacteria
Description: partial 16S ribosomal RNA
Rfam family: Bacterial small subunit ribosomal RNA
Source: RNAcentral